This 481-nucleotide ribosomal RNA is filed under the name uncultured bacterium. Its description in RNAcentral is "bacterial SSU rRNA". It matches the Rfam family "Bacterial small subunit ribosomal RNA", at positions 329 to 803 of the family's 1533-position model. The record is from RNAcentral.
UGGCUAACUCCUACGGGAGGCAGCAGUGGGGAAUUUUGGACAAUGGGGGCAACCCUGAUCCAGCAAUGCCGCGUGAGUGAAGAAGGCCUUCGGGUUGUAAGGCUCUUUUGUCAGGGAAGAAACGGUAGUAGCUAAUAUCUAUUACUAAUGACGGUACCUGAAGAAUAAGCACCGGCUAACUACGUGCCAGCAGCCGCGGUAAUACGUAGAGUGCAAGCGUUAAUCGGAAUUACUGGGCGUAAAGCGUGCGCAGGCGGUUGUGUAAGUCAGAUGUGAAAUCCCCGGGCUCAACCUGGGAAUUGCAUUUGAGACUGCACGGCUAGAGUGUAGCAGAGGGGGGUAGAAUUCCACGUGUAGCAGUGAAAUGCGUAGAUAUGUGGAGGAAUACCGAUGGCGAAGGCAGCCCGCUAGGAUAACACUGACGCUGAUGCACGAAAGCGUGGGGAGCAAACAGGAUUAGAAACCCCGGUAGUCCAGCUGG